AGUGAACGCUGGCGGUAGGCCUAACACAUGCAAGUCAAACGGCAGCACAGUAAGAGCUUGCUCUUACGGGUGGCGAGUGGCGGACGGGUGAGGAAUACAUCGGAAUCUACUUUUUCGUGGGGGAUAACGUAGGGAAACUUACGCUAAUACCGCAUACGACCUACGGGUGAAAGCAGGGGAUCUUCGGACCUUGCGCGAUUGAAUGAGCCGAUGUCGGAUUAGCUAGUUGGCGGGGUAAAGGCCCACCAAGGCGACGAUCCGUAGCUGGUCUGAGAGGAUGGUCAGCCACACUGGAACGGAGACACGGUCCAGACUCCUGAGGGAGGCAGCAGUGGGGAAUAUUGGACAAUGGGCGCAAGCCUGAUCCAGUCAUACCGAGUGGGUGAAGAAGGCCUUCGGGUUGUAAAGCCCUUUUGUUGGGAAAGAAAAGCAGCAGGUUAAUACCCCGCUGUUCUGACGGUACCCAAAGAAUAAGCACCGGCUAACUUCGUG
This 492-nucleotide ribosomal RNA is filed under the name uncultured bacterium. Its description in RNAcentral is "partial 16S ribosomal RNA". It matches the Rfam family "Bacterial small subunit ribosomal RNA", at positions 29 to 507 of the family's 1533-position model. The record is from RNAcentral.